RNAcentral lists this ribosomal RNA (407 nucleotides) under uncultured bacterium. RNAcentral's name for it is "partial 16S ribosomal RNA". It matches the Rfam family "Bacterial small subunit ribosomal RNA", at positions 30 to 526 of the family's 1533-position model. The record is from RNAcentral.
AUUGAACGCUGGCGGCAGGCCUAACACAUGCAAGUCGAGCGGAGCGGCGGACGGGUUAGUAAUGCCUAGGAAUCUGCCUGGUAGUGGGGGAUAACGUCCGGCAACGCGAGCUAAUACCGCAUACUAUCAGAUGAGCCUAGGUAGGAUUAGCGAGUUGGUUGGUUAAAGGCCUCCCAAGGCGACGAUCCGUAACUGGUCUGAGAGGAUGAUCAGUCACACUAGAACUGAGACACGGUCCAGACUGCGACGGGAGGAAGCAGGGGGGAAGAUUGGACAAGGGUCGAAAGCCUGAUCCAGCCAUGCCUCGUGUGUGAAGAAGGUCUUCGGAUUGUAAAGCACUGUAAGUUGGGAGGCGUUACCAACAGAAUAAGCACCGGCUAACUUCGUGCCAGCCGCCGCGGUAAUAC